This 458-nucleotide ribosomal RNA is filed under the name uncultured bacterium. RNAcentral's name for it is "partial 16S ribosomal RNA". It matches the Rfam family "Bacterial small subunit ribosomal RNA", at positions 338 to 795 of the family's 1533-position model. The record is from RNAcentral.
CCUACGGGAGGCAGCAGUGGGGAAUAUUGCGCAAUGGGCGAAAGCCUGACGCAGCGACGCCGCGUGAGGGAGUACUGCCCUAUGGGUUGUAAACCUCUUUUGUCGGGGAGCAAAAGCCGGACGUGUCCGGCUGUGAGAGUACCCGAAGAAAAAGCAUCGGCUAACUCCGUGCCAGCAGCCGCGGUAAUACGGAGGAUGCGAGCGUUAUCCGGAUUUAUUGGGUUUAAAGGGUGCGCAGGCGGAUUUUUAAGUCAGCGGUAAAAUCGUGGGGCUCAACCCCAUCCAGCCGUUGAAACUGGGGAUCUAGAGUGUGCGAGAGGUAUGCGGAAUGCGUGGUGUAGCGGUGAAAUGCAUAGAUAUCACGCAGAACCCCGAUUGCGAAGGCAGCAUACCGGUGCACAACUGACGCUCAGGCACGAAAGUGUGGGUAUCAAACAGGAUUAGAUACCCUUGUAGUC